AUGCACUAAUAUAUCAUUAGGUCUCCGAAUAUAUUCUUAAACAUCUCUAUCAUAUCCGGUAUUUCGCGCACCACCUCCAUGAUGCUGGUAAUAAGGUUGGGACAUUGGCAUUUAUGAUAGUUCUGUCAUGUUUUCUAGUUUCUGUUUCAAUUGUUUCUAUUAAAGUCAAGGUAUUGAAGUCUCAUAUUGUUCUAAUUACUUUAGCUUCACCCCAUUUAACAUCGGCAUCACUUUCAUACACUUUGGUAGCAAGGGCCAUGUUCUGUCUCCCCAUUUCAAUAUCUUUUUUGUGUUCUUCUGCUCUUUUGGCCAAUCCACUUUUUGUGCUGCCUAUAUGAUAUUGCAUUUCUUGUUGGUCAUUGUCAUGUGUGG
This 372-nucleotide long non-coding RNA is filed under the name Androctonus crassicauda. Lineage: Eukaryota; Metazoa; Arthropoda; Arachnida; Scorpiones; Buthidae. The record is from RNAcentral.